Molecule: ribosomal RNA, 487 nt
Filed under: Pseudomonas sp. CL3.10
Lineage: Bacteria; Pseudomonadati; Pseudomonadota; Gammaproteobacteria; Pseudomonadales; Pseudomonadaceae
Description: bacterial SSU rRNA
Rfam family: Bacterial small subunit ribosomal RNA
Source: RNAcentral
CCAUGGCUCAGAUUGAACGCUGGCGGCAGGCCUAACACAUGCAAGUCGAGCGGAUGACAGGAGCUUGCUCCUGAAUUCAGCGGCGGACGGGUGAGUAAUGCCUAGGAAUCUGCCUGGUAGUGGGGGACAACGUUUCGAAAGGAACGCUAAUACCGCAUACGUCCUACGGGAGAAAGCAGGGGACCUUCGGGCCUUGCGCUAUCAGAUGAGCCUAGGUCGGAUUAGCUAGUUGGUGAGGUAAUGGCUCACCAAGGCGACGAUCCGUAACUGGUCUGAGAGGAUGAUCAGUCACACUGGAACUGAGACACGGUCCAGACUCCUACGGGAGGCAGCAGUGGGGAAUAUUGGACAAUGGGCGAAAGCCUGAUCCAGCCAUGCCGCGUGUGUGAAGAAGGUCUUCGGAUUGUAAAGCACUUUAAGUUGGGAGGAAGGGCAGUAACUUAAUACGUUGCUGUCUUGACGUUACCGACAGAAUAAGCACCGGCUA